UCUUCGAGUCGUUGAUUUCACACUGCCGAGAAAAGCCUCUAGAUAGAAAAUAGGUGCCCGUACCGCAAACCGACACAGGUAGUCAAGAUGAGAAUUCUAAGGUGAGCGAGCGAACUCUCGUUAAGGAACUCGGCAAAAUGACCCCGUAACUUCGGGAGAAGGGGUGCUCUUUAGGGUUAACGCCCAGAAGAGCCGCAGUGAAUAGGCCCAAGCGACUGUUUAUCAAAAACACAGGUCUCUGCUAAACCGUAAGGUGAUGUAUAGGGGCUGACGCCUGCCCGGUGCUGGAAGGUUAAGAGGAGUGGUUAGCUUCUGCGAAGCUACGAAUCGAAGCCCCAGUAAACGGCGGCCGUAACUAUAACGGUCCUAAGGUAGCGAAAUUCCUUGUCGGGUAAGUUCCGACCCGCACGAAAGGCGUAACGAUUUGGGCACUGUCUCAACGAGAGACUCGGUGAAAUCAUAGUACCUGUGAAGAUGCAGGUUACCCGCGACAGGACGGAAAGACCCCGUGGAGCUUUACUGUAGCCUGAUAUUGAAAUUCGGCACAGCUUGUACAGGAUAGGUAGGAGCCUUUGAAACGUGAGCGCUAGCUUACGUGGAGGCGCUGGUGGGAUACUACCCUAGCUGUGUUGGCUUUCUAACCCGCACCACUUAUCGUGGUGGGAGACAGUGUCAAGCGGGCAGUUUGACUGGGGCGGUCGCCUCCUAAAAGGUAACGGAGGCGCUCAAAGGUUCCCUCAGAAUGGUUGGAAAUCAUUCAUAGAGUGUAAAGGCAUAAGGGAGCUUGACUGCGAGACCUACAAGUCGAGCAGGGUCGAAAGACGGACUUAGUGAUCCGGUGGUUCCGCAUGGAAGGGCCAUCGCUCAACGGAUAAAAGCUACCCCGGGGAUAACAGGCUUAUCUCCCCCAAGAGUUCACAUCGACGGGGAGGUUUGGCACCUCGAUGUCGGCUCAUCGCAUCCUGGGGCUGUAGUCGGUCCCAAGGGUUGGGCUGUUCGCCCAUUAAAGCGGUACGCGAGCUGGGUUCAGAACGUCGUGAGACAGUUCGGUCCCUAUCCGUCGUGGGCGUAGGAAAUUUGAGAGGAGCUGUCCUUAGUACGAGAGGACCGGGAUGGACAUACCUCUGGUGUACCAGUUGUCGUGCCAACGGCAUAGCUGGGUAGCUAUGUGUGGACGGGAUAAGUGCUGAAAGCAUCUAAGCAUGAAGCCCCCCUCAAGAUGAGAUUUCCCAACUUCGGUUAUAAGAUCCCUCAAAGAUGAUGAGGUUAAUAGGUUCGAGGUGGAAGCAUGGUGACAUGUGGAGCUGACGAAUACUAAUCGAUCGAAGACUUAAUCAAAA
Molecule: ribosomal RNA, 1340 nt
Filed under: Staphylococcus aureus
Lineage: Bacteria; Bacillati; Bacillota; Bacilli; Caryophanales; Staphylococcaceae
Description: partial 23S ribosomal RNA
Rfam family: Bacterial large subunit ribosomal RNA
Source: RNAcentral